GACGAACGCUGGCGGCGUGCCUAAUACAUGCAAGUCGAACGCAUUUUCUUUCACCGUAGCUUGCUACACCGACAGAAAAUGAGUGGCGAACGGGUGAGUAACACGUGGGUAACCUGCCCAUCAGCGGGGGAUAACACUUGGAAACAGGUGCUAAUACCGCAUAAUUCCAUUUACUGCAUGGUAGAUGGAUGAAAGGCGCUUUUGCGUCACUGAUGGAUGGACCCGCGGUGCAUUAGCUAGUCGGUGGGGUAACGGCCUACCAAGGCUGCGAUGCAUAGCCGACCUGAGAGGGUGAUCGGCCACACUGGGAGUGAGACACGGCACAGACGGCUACGGGAGGCAGCAGUAGGGAAUCUUCGGCAAUGGACGCAAGUCUGACCGAGCAGCGCCGCGUGAGUGAAGAAGGUUUUCGGAUCGUAAAACUCUGUUGUUAGAAAAGAACAAGGAUGAGCGUGGAAAGUUCAUCCCUUGACGGUAUCUAACCAGAAAGCAACGGCUAACUACGUG
RNAcentral lists this ribosomal RNA (507 nucleotides) under uncultured bacterium. RNAcentral describes it as "partial 16S ribosomal RNA". It matches the Rfam family "Bacterial small subunit ribosomal RNA", at positions 28 to 507 of the family's 1533-position model. The record is from RNAcentral.